GUGGGGAAUUUUGGACAAUGGGCGCAAGCCUGAUCCAGCAAUGCCGCGUGCAGGAAGAAGGCCUUCGGGUUGUAAACUGCUUUUGUACGGAACGAAACGGUCCGGGUUAAUACCCUGGGCUAAUGACGGUACCGUAAGAAUAAGCACCGGCUAACUACGUGCCAGCAGCCGCGGUAAUACGUAGGGUGCAAGCGUUAAUCGGAAUUACUGGGCGUAAAGCGUGCGCAGGCGGUUUUGUAAGACAGGCGUGAAAUCCACGGGCUCGACCUGGGAAUUGCGCUUGUGACUGCAAGGCUGGAGUGCGGCAGAGGGGGAUGGAAUUCCGCGUGUAGCAGUGAAAUGCGUAGAUAUGCGGAGGAACACCGAUGGCGAAGGCAAUCCCCUGGGCCUGCACUGACGCUCAUGCACGAAAGCGUGGGGAGCAAACAGGAUUAGAAACCCCGGUAGUCC
RNAcentral lists this ribosomal RNA (450 nucleotides) under uncultured bacterium. RNAcentral describes it as "partial 16S ribosomal RNA". It matches the Rfam family "Bacterial small subunit ribosomal RNA", at positions 354 to 796 of the family's 1533-position model. The record is from RNAcentral.